UACAGAGGUCUCAAGCGUUGUUCGGAAUCACUGGGCGUAAAGGGUGCGUAGGCCGCACGGUAAGUCAGAGGUGAAAUCCCGGAGCUCAACUUCGGAAUUGCCUCCGAUACUGCCGUGCUUGAGGACUGGAGAGGAGUCUGGAAUCCACAGUGGAGCAGUGAAAUGCGUAGAUAUUGUGAGGAACACUAGUGGCGAAGGCGAGACUCUGGACAGUUCCUGACGCUGAGGCACGAAGGCCAGGGGAGCAAACGGG
This 253-nucleotide ribosomal RNA is filed under the name uncultured bacterium. Its description in RNAcentral is "partial 16S ribosomal RNA". It matches the Rfam family "Bacterial small subunit ribosomal RNA", at positions 524 to 776 of the family's 1533-position model. The record is from RNAcentral.